Syzygium oleosum is the source of this 339-nucleotide long non-coding RNA. RefSeq lists it as uncharacterized. The transcript has 2 exons. Lineage: Eukaryota; Viridiplantae; Streptophyta; Magnoliopsida; Myrtales; Myrtaceae. The record is from RefSeq and is a predicted model, not a curated record.
GGUCAUUUAGCUUUUCAUGGCAGUCCAGAUUUGGAUGCGUCCAUGGACGUCAAGAUCUCGAUGUACUCGACUCUGUUUCUUUCUUCCAUCAUUCUCGAUACAUGGAUCCACGGCUCUGUUUUACUGUUUUCAACUCUGUGACAGGGGAUCUAAAGGGACGAAGAUGAAGGGAGGAAGGGCAAAAAAAGAAGAAGAAGGUCGUGAAGUAGAAACCCGACCCGACUUGAACCGUCAUUUCAGUUCAGGUUCUGUAUAGUUCGGGUCAUAAAAAUUAUAUAUUGUUCGUGUACAAGGUUGUUCAGGUAUCAAUAAAAUCCGAACCGAACCGACGUGUUAACA